AUGUUAGCGGCGGACGGGUGAGUAACACGUGGAUAACCUACCUAUAAGACUGGGAUAACUUCGGGAAACCGGAGCUAAUACCGGAUAAUAUUUUGAACCGCAUGGUUCAAAAGUGAAAGACGGUCUUGCUGUCACUUAUAGAUGGAUCCGCGCUGCAUUAGCUAGUUGGUAAGGUAACGGCUUACCAAGGCAACGAUGCAUAGCCGACCUGAGAGGGUGAUCGGCCACACUGGAACUGAGACACGGUCCAGACUCCUACGGGAGGCAGCAGUAGGGAAUCUUCCGCAAUGGGCGAAAGCCUGACGGAGCAACGCCGCGUGAGUGAUGAAGGUCUUCGGAUCGUAAAACUCUGUUAUUAGGGAAGAACAUAUGUGUAAGUAACUGUGCACAUCUUGACGGUACCUAAUCAGAAAGCCACGGCUAACUACGUGCCAGCAGCCGCGGUAAUACGUAGGUGGCAAGCGUUAUCCGGAAUUAUUGGGCGUAAAGCGCGCGUAGGCGGUUUUUUAAGUCUGAUGUGAAAGCCCACGGCUCAACCGUGGAGGGUCAUUGGAAACUGGAAAACUUGAGUGCAGAAGAGGAAAGUGGAAUUCCAUGUGUAGCGGUGAAAUGCGCAGAGAUAUGGAGGAACACCAGUGGCGAAGGCGACUUUCUGGUCUGUAACUGACGCUGAUGUGCGAAAGCGUGGGGAUCAAACAGGAUUAGAUACCCUGGUAGUCCACGCCGUAAACGAUGAGUGCUAAGUGUUAGGGGGUUUCCGCCCCUUAGUGCUGCAGCUAACGCAUUAAGCACUCCGCCUGGGGAGUACGACCGCAAGGUUGAAACUCAAAGGAAUUGACGGGGACCCGCACAAGCGGUGGAGCAUGUGGUUUAAUUCGAAGCAACGCGAAGAACCUUACCAAAUCUUGACAUCCUUUGACAACUCUAGAGAUAGAGCUUUCCCCUUCGGGGGACAAAGUGACAGGUGGUGCAUGGUUGUCGUCAGCUCGUGUCGUGAGAUGUUGGGUUAAGUCCCGCAACGAGCGCAACCCUUAAGCUUAGUUGCCAUCAUUAAGUUGGGCACUCUAAGUUGACUGCCGGUGACAAACCGGAGGAAGGUGGGGAUGACGUCAAAUCAUCAUGCCCCUUAUGAUUUGGGCUACACACGUGCUACAAUGGACAAUACAAAGGGCAGCGAAACCGUGAGGUCAAGCAAAUCCCAUAAAGUUGUUCUCAGUUCGGAUUGUAGUCUGCAACUCGACUACAUGAAGCUGGAAUCGCUAGUAAUCGUAGAUCAGCAUGCUACGGUGAAUACGUUCCCGGGUCUUGUACACACCGCCCGUCACACCACGAGAGUUUGUAACACCCGAAGCCGGUGGAGUAACCUUUUAGGAGCUAGCCGUCGAAGGUGGGACAAAUGAUUGGGGUGAAGUCGUAACAAGGUAGCCGUAUCGGAAGGUGCGGCUGGAUCACCUCCUUU
Molecule: ribosomal RNA, 1459 nt
Filed under: Staphylococcus aureus
Lineage: Bacteria; Bacillati; Bacillota; Bacilli; Caryophanales; Staphylococcaceae
Description: bacterial SSU rRNA
Rfam family: Bacterial small subunit ribosomal RNA
Source: RNAcentral